GAUGAAGAACGUAGCGAAAUGCGAUAAGUAAUGCGAAUUGCAGGAUUCCGUGAGUCAUCGAAUCUUUGAACGCACAUUGCGCCCUCUGGUAUUCCGGAGGGCAUGCCUGUCUGAGCGUCAUUGUCAACCCUCAAGCUCAGCUUGCUGUUGGGUCCCCGUCGUUGCUUUAACGGCGGACCCGAAAGGUAAUGGCAGAGUCCGUGAGACCCUAGACGCAGCGAGCUUCUAGCACGCGUCUGGACGUUUUUCGGGCUCGGUCUUAACUAGAUGAUAACUUCCGAUUGACCUCAGAUCAGGUAGGGAUACCCGCUGAACUUAAGCAUAUCAAUAAGCGGAGGA
Molecule: unclassified non-coding RNA, 339 nt
Filed under: soil metagenome
Description: partial contains 5.8S ribosomal RNA, internal transcribed spacer 2, and large subunit ribosomal RNA
Rfam family: 5.8S ribosomal RNA (bases 1-120)
Source: RNAcentral